RNAcentral lists this ribosomal RNA (269 nucleotides) under uncultured prokaryote. RNAcentral's name for it is "partial 16S ribosomal RNA". It matches the Rfam family "Bacterial small subunit ribosomal RNA", at positions 524 to 792 of the family's 1533-position model. The record is from RNAcentral.
UACGGAGGAUCCGAGCGUUAUCCGGAUUUAUUGGGUUUAAAGGGUGCGCAGGCGGGAGAUUAAGUCGGCGGUGAAAUUUUGCAGCUCAACUGUAAAAGUGCCUUCGAAACUGGUUUUCUUGAGUGUGGAUGAAGUAGGCGGAAUUUGUGGUGUAGCGGUGAAAUGCAUAGAUAUUACACAGAACACCAAUUGCGUAGGCAGCUUACUGAGCCAACACUGACGCUGAGGCACGAAAGCGUGGGGAUCAAACAGGAUUAGAUACCCGUGUA